AACGCACAUUGCGCCCGCCAGUAUUCUGGCGGGCAUGCCUGUCUGAGCGUCAUUUCAACCCUCAGGGCCCGCUCGCGGGACCUGGCGUUGGGGAUCAGCUUCCGAGCUGGCCCCUAAAUCUAGUGGCGGUCCACCCACGACCUCCUCUGUGCAGUAGCGAUACCUCGCAGCUGGAUAGUGGUCGGGCCACGCCGUAAAACCCCCUACUUCUCAAGGUUGACCUCAGAUCAGGUAGGAAUACCCGCUGAACUUAA
RNAcentral lists this unclassified non-coding RNA (254 nucleotides) under uncultured fungus. RNAcentral's name for it is "partial contains 5.8S ribosomal RNA, internal transcribed spacer 2, and large subunit ribosomal RNA". The stretch from base 1 to 52 matches the Rfam family "5.8S ribosomal RNA", at positions 103 to 154 of the family's 154-position model. Lineage: Eukaryota; Fungi. The record is from RNAcentral.